UGAGGUGCAGUGGCGGAAUCGUGGUUUAAUAAUCGGGUUGGUACUCAGUUGUCAGUGUGUUUGGCGAUCCCCUAGUCGGCACACUUAUGAUUUCUGGGAUAAUUCCAUACCAGGCACGUUCCGUCACUGUCACUUUGUCAUUGGUUUGAUGCUGAACUUGGUCAUGUGUCUGAUGCUAUUUUCAUAUAGCGACGGUACCCUUCGUGGUCUGUCUUCCUGACCUCGGUUCAGACGUGAUUACCCGCUGAACUUAAGCAUAUCACUAAGCGGAGGAAAAGAAACUAACCAGGAUUCCCUUAGUAACGGCGAGUGAACAGGGAAGAGCCCAGCACCGAAGCCUGUGGUCAUUUGGCCCCUAGGCAAUGUGGUGUUCAGGUUAGCUCGCGAAGAUGCUGC
This 396-nucleotide ribosomal RNA is filed under the name Fasciola hepatica (liver fluke). Its description in RNAcentral is "eukaryotic LSU rRNA". The stretch from base 218 to 396 matches the Rfam family "Eukaryotic large subunit ribosomal RNA", at positions 1 to 176 of the family's 3401-position model. Lineage: Eukaryota; Metazoa; Platyhelminthes; Trematoda; Plagiorchiida; Fasciolidae. The record is from RNAcentral.